AGAUUGAACGCUGGCGGCAUGCCUUACACAUGCAAGUCGAACGGUAACAGGUCUUCGGAUGCUGACGAGUGGCGAACGGGUGAGUAAUACAUCGGAACGUGCCCGAUCGUGGGGGAUAACGGAGCGAAAGCUUUGCUAAUACCGCAUACGAUCUACGGAUGAAAGCAGGGGACCCGCAAGGGCCUUGCGCGGACGGAGCGGCCGAUGGCAGAUUAGGUAGUUGGUGGGAUAAAAGCUUACCAAGCCGACGAUCUGUAGCUGGUCUGAGAGGACCGACCAGCCACACGUGGGACUGAGACACCGGCCCAGACCUCCGUACGGGAGGCAGCGAGGUGGGUAAUUUGGACAAGUGGGACGAAAGCCUAGACUCCGAGCCAGUCGCCGCGUGCGAAGGAU
This 396-nucleotide ribosomal RNA is filed under the name uncultured soil bacterium. RNAcentral's name for it is "bacterial SSU rRNA". It matches the Rfam family "Bacterial small subunit ribosomal RNA", at positions 26 to 412 of the family's 1533-position model. The record is from RNAcentral.